AAGAGGAUAUUUAAAUUAUAAUAUUAACUUGUCAGGUUAAAGUUAGGGUCUAGUCUCUUUCUCUUG
RNAcentral lists this transfer RNA (66 nucleotides) under Pandarus rhincodonicus. RNAcentral describes it as "tRNA-Asp". Lineage: Eukaryota; Metazoa; Arthropoda; Copepoda; Siphonostomatoida; Pandaridae. The record is from RNAcentral.